GGCGCUGUAGCUCAGUUGGCUAGAGCAUUCGGUUCAUACCCGAAGUGUCACCGGUUCGAAUCCAGUCAGCGCUACCA
This 77-nucleotide transfer RNA is filed under the name Butyricimonas faecihominis. RNAcentral's name for it is "tRNA-Met". It matches the Rfam family "tRNA". From Rfam's summary of the family: Transfer RNA (tRNA) molecules are approximately 80 nucleotides in length. Their secondary structure includes four short double-helical elements and three loops (D, anti-codon, and T loops). Further hydrogen bonds mediate the characteristic L-shaped molecular structure. tRNAs have two regions of fundamental functional importance: the anti-codon, which is responsible for specific mRNA codon recognition, and the 3' end, to which the tRNAs corresponding amino acid is attached (by aminoacyl-tRNA synthetases). tRNAs cope with the degeneracy of the genetic code in two manners: having more than one tRNA (with a specific anti-codon) for a particular amino acid; and 'wobble' base-pairing, i.e. permitting non-standard base-pairing at the 3rd anti-codon position. The record is from RNAcentral. RNAcentral also lists the same sequence under 5 other names. Lineage: Bacteria; Pseudomonadati; Bacteroidota; Bacteroidia; Bacteroidales; Odoribacteraceae.